AUGGCUAAGUAUCGGAAGGGGGGCGGCGCGACGAUCUCCUCCAUCGGCAUGUUUAAAGCCCAGAUGAGCAGUGGCUCAUUCCAGCUCCUCGGGAUGGCGGAACUCAGUCCCCUCCCGGCUGUUUUUGCUCGCCGCACCUCCUACACCGGGACCCCGUGGGUCGCCAUCGCCGCAUCGACCGUUGUCAUGAUCGCCGUCUCAUUCCUUGGCUUCGAUCAUGUCGCCAACUUCCUAUAUAGCUUGGGCACGUUGCUCGAGUUCGCCUCCUUCUGGCUCCGUGCCAAGCACCUGAUGCUGAAGCGCCCCUACCGCGUGCCACUAUCGCUGCAUGCGCUCGUGGCCAUGUGUGCCGUGCCGUCGGGUUUCCUGGCCUAUGUCUGUGUGGUGGCCGGGUGGAGGGUGUUCGGCGUUGCUGCUGGGCUGUCGGCGCUCGGUGUCGGUUGGCAUGGCGUCAUGAGGGUGUGUAGGGCCAGAAAGUUGCUCAAGUUCAACAUGAGGGUGUGCAGGGCCAGAAAGUUGCUCAAGUUCAACAACGCGGUUGUUGCUGUCCAUCGAGAGGGUGUUGAAGAGAAUAUUUGA
RNAcentral lists this ribosomal RNA (579 nucleotides) under Triticum aestivum (bread wheat). RNAcentral describes it as "partial small subunit ribosomal RNA". The record is from RNAcentral. Lineage: Eukaryota; Viridiplantae; Streptophyta; Magnoliopsida; Poales; Poaceae.